This 3603-nucleotide long non-coding RNA is filed under the name Mus musculus (house mouse). Its description in RNAcentral is "long non-coding RNA chr6:48416252-48419855". The record is from RNAcentral. Lineage: Eukaryota; Metazoa; Chordata; Mammalia; Rodentia; Muridae.
ACAGAACCUCCGGCUGCUAGAGUGGCAGCCAUCAGCAUUCCAAACCAGCCCAAGGAACCUGACAGCCUGCUAGGGGAAGCCCUCAGCAGAGACCUCUGGGGAGGUGACCACCGGGACCCAAGGUGGGGGGCCCAUUAACUGUUUGUCUGCUCAGCCUUGCUGGAGAUUCUGGGUGGCAGGGAUGUCCUGAUGGGACCCUCUGGAGUCCAGCCAUCCCAGGCUGUCUGCUUUCCAGGGGUUGUAUCUUCCUUCUUACCUGUUCAUCAACCAGCCCUCUCAUUGCUGCUGCAAGUCUGGCUCUUUGCCUCUGCUGUGCCAGGCCUCCAUGGUGUCUGCAUAGAGCCACGACAGAGGCAUUCCUCAGCUGUACCUCUGACUUUCUUGGCUCAGGUUCAGUCAGUUGCUCUUCCUCCUUGGCAAAGCCAUCUAGGUUCCAGGUGGGUGUCAUGCAUACCACAUGUGCACAGAGCCAGCUGCAGAGGGCACCACAAGGGCACCUUAACCAGCUCCUGAUCUCAAGAACACUAAAAGGCUAGCCGUUGUCUGUCUAGAGUGAAUACUUCACAGAUCUCAUUUAGGGAGAGCCUGGUCUAUGGACUAAGCUGAAUUUUCCCACAUAGAUUCUAAAAUUAAAUGUAUUAGUUGCUAAGUAAAGGCCAUUGGCUUCUGUGGAAGGGUGCUCAGAGGGGACAACACUCUGGCAUGGUUGCCCAGAUUGUCACUAGUACAUUGGGACUAGGCAGCUGGUGUCCCCCUCUUCGACACACACCUCACAAGAACUGAGCAUAUGUAGUACAGCUGGGGACAGAGUGCCACAGGGCCUCUGGGGAGAGGACUACACAUGUGUCAGUCUCCUGGGCUGUGUACAAAGUGUCACAGACUUUGGGCAGCUUAGAUCAAGGGUCCCAAAUCUAGGGUCUGCCAGGCUUGGUUCUGAAGGGGACAUUUGACUAUGGGGGGCUGUUUUCAUGCUCACAUGCCAUCUCCUGGGAGUCUUUUCUCUAAGUGCCCUCAUACCAGGACCCAGGCUGUUUUAAAUGGCAUCCAUUCUCAUUUGAACUUAAUCUAAAGACUAGAGAACAUCACAUUCUGAAGUGCUGGGGGUAGGGGACACUUUCCCCUAGUGUCCAGUGUCAGCCUUUUCACAUCAUGACAGUGUUGUCAUCCAGAAAGUUUACAUUCAAGAACCAGACAGUUAAGAUUUUUAAAAAGUCAGAAAAAAACAUGUUUUCAGUAUUUUACAAGUUUGUGUUGGGUUGCGUAUAUCACAUUCCUCAGCUACAUGCAGGUUAGUGGGCUGCAGGUUGGCUGUGCCUGUUAGAAUUGAACAUAAACGGGGAGGAGGGCACCAUCUAGCUCAUGACACACCUAAGACCUAGGCCAGUCUGGGCUGACUAGAUGUCACUCCAUCUGCUUCUGCCCUGGGGCUUGGCACUCUACCACAGCUGGCCACCCUAGAUUUACUCACUUCAGGUCCCUCAGGGUUGUCCUGAAUUCCUUUUGAACCUAAGGCCUUUCACGAGCUGUGUCUAUACCCAUAGGAGCUGGGAAGGCCAGGGCCUGGGGCUGCCUGCUAAAGCUAAGGGUGACAUGGCCUUGUCCUUGACAAGCACAAGCAGUUUCUUGUGGCUACUUUGCCCUGUGACACACUAAAGUAGUGAUCCCUGGAGAUAUCCAGGGCUGGGUACCCCUCAGGGAACCAUGCCUAGAGCUUGGUGAGUAUGGCUUAAACAGACACAGUCAAAACAGAGAAUAGAUUUUAGAACAGUGAUUCUCAACCUAUGGGUCUUGAAGGAUCCACCCUGCGAGGCUCACAUAUCAGAUAUUUCACAUUUCGUUUGGUAACGGUGGCAAAACUGUUGUUAUAAAGUAGCAAUGAAAUAGUUUUAUAGUUGAUGGUCACCUGGUUGCAACAUUAAGAUAGAGAACUGUUUUAGGGACUAAAGACUCCCCAAGAAGUCUGCCUCGACUAGUGUAAGCUGUGCACAGGACAUUGACGUGAGCAAGUCUAGCUCAGUGCCUUCACGUGGAGUAGAAAUCAAGUGGCUGCAGCUUCCACUUGAAAGGAACGGGCAGCUGCAUCUCCAGGCGAGUGGGGCAAUGCUGGUGCUUCAGUGCAGUGGGCAGGGAUAAGGCCCAGGUCCCGGGUAGAGAAGAAACAUUCAACGUCAUAAUCCUACUUGGAAGACUUGGGUAGUCUUAAAUUGGGGACUGGUAUAGGUAUCCCUGGCCAGGACAGGAACUUCGUCCUUUCUCUCCUAAACAUGAGACCAUGUUAUCAAUCAAUGAAAGGGAUGGCAUGUCUGUCUGCCUUGCUGACAGCCAGCACAAGUGACCAAACAGCAUUGUAGGAGAGUUGCCAGGGCCUGUCAUCUCCUGGGUGGUAAGUGCUUCCCUAGGCUGUGCCUGCUUAGAACAAAUAAAGGCAGUUGGGACCAAGCUCACCGUAAGUGGUUCAGAUCCAACUGGACAGUCCUAACAGGUUUAGAGAAAUGUUUAGACUGGAGCAUGGGCCACUGAGUGAACCCUAUGGAUUUCGUCAGCUAUAUCACCACUACACCACUGGAAGGUCUCUAAGGACCUGAUGCUGUCACAGCUGUUAAUCAGCCUUCUGGACUCACUGGGUCCUGUUCCUGGCAGGACAGUUCUGGGACAACUUGUUCAGAGGUAAGGACCAGAAGUCUAUCCUCUACUGAUCUGGCAAGUGGCCAUAGGCCACACCUGAGUGGGGACUUCUUCCUCAUAUCACCCACAGGGUUAAGAGGGUGAGUCCUGCUCACUCUGCAGACUGAUGGAAGGCUGAAGGAGGUAGGUGGCCCCAGGGACCAUCAGUGGCCUCCGGCAGUAUCCUGCAAGUCACUGUUCACCACUGGGGCAUCUCCCACUGGGGCAGACUUCAUCCUACAUGUGGCCCCUGUAAAGUUCUGUGAUUGCAAGGCUUUCCCAUCCUAAUCCAUCUUGCCAGUUUCUGGUCCUGGAGGCCUGAGCCCAUUUACAUGGUGUUGGUUACUGAUUCAUUCACAGUUGAACAUAUCUUCAUACUCUGCUUUGUCCCACUUUCAGAGUUUGGGGUUAGCUGAUUGGGUUUGGUUUUAGUUUUCCUUCCUUCCUGUCUUGUUUUGAAUUGACUGUGGUGGGUUUUGUUGUUGUUUUAUUGUUUUGUUUUAAUUUUUUUCAUAUUCAUUCCACUUCUCCCAAAGAACUAGAAGAGGAAACAUCUGAAUUCAUAAUUCUAUUUGUAAGAUUUCAGUAUUUUCUCAAAUUGAUAAAACAAAUUAGGGUGGAAGUUGAAAUUUUGAGCAAGCUGAUUAACAAAAUUCUCUUGAUUCCUGAAUGUAAACACACUGCACCAUAAGACUGCUGUUUCCACGAAUACACAGAACACUUGGAAAUUAACCUAGUUGACUAAGCCCUAGAGCAAAUAUAAACAAAUUUAAAAGUAUUGAAAUUACAUAGAAUGUAUAUUUUGGCCACACUUUACCUUCUAGGCUAGAGUUAAAUAGCAAAUCCCAGGCAUUUUUAUAUACUCAAAAAAAAUAAAUAAAUAAUGGUUAUACUAUCAAAGCUAACACAAGGAUCUAGCCUGUGGUAAAAUACCAAUGC